AGUGAACGCUGGCGGUAGGCCUAACACAUGCAAGUCGAACGGCAGCACAGUAAGAGCUUGCUCUUACGGGUGGCGAGUGGCGGACGGGUGAGGAAUACAUCGGAAUCUACUUUUUCGUGGGGGAUAACGUAGGGAAACUUACGCUAAUACCGCAUACGACCUACGGGUGAAAGCAGGGGAUCUUCGGACCUUGCGCGAUUGAAUGAGCCGAUGUCGGAUUAGCUAGUUGGCGGGGUAAAGGCCCACCAAGGCGACGAUCCGUAGCUGGUCUGAGAGGAUGAUCAGCCACACUGGAACUGAGGCACGGUCCAGACUCCUACGGGAGGCAGCAGUGGGGAAUAUUGGACAAGGGGCGCAAGCCUGAUCCAGCCAUACCGCGUGGGUGAAGAAGGCCUUCGGGUUGUAAAGCCCUUUUGUUGGGAAAGAAAAGCAGCAGGUUAAUACCCCGCUGUUCUGACGGUACCCAAAGAAUAAGCACCGGCUAACUUCGUG
Molecule: ribosomal RNA, 492 nt
Filed under: uncultured bacterium
Lineage: Bacteria
Description: partial 16S ribosomal RNA
Rfam family: Bacterial small subunit ribosomal RNA
Source: RNAcentral